RNAcentral lists this non-coding RNA (21 nucleotides) under Rattus norvegicus (Norway rat). Lineage: Eukaryota; Metazoa; Chordata; Mammalia; Rodentia; Muridae. The record is from RNAcentral.
UAACCUACCAAAGGCUAGCCC